AGAUUUUUGUCUGGGAACAGAGAAGCAGAGAGAAACGCGGUUGCCUUUGACGGUGCAACAUCAUUUGUUCUUCAUCGAGGAGACGAGCGCCCUUAGCCCGAAGAAGCGAAGAGAGUGGCCGAAGCAGUCGAGUCGGGGGAAAGAGGAUAAAUAGACGGCUUCCAGAUACGGCCUCGUAAAACAACCAGCAACCGAAGCGACGUUCGUUCGACCUUCGGUUCGCCCCAUUGUCAGUUUCCGUCGCGCCAAGGGACGGGGCGACCCUGAUCGUAAAGGGAGUUCGAGCUUCCGAGACGACGCGAAGCCGCGCAGAGAUAACGGAGGCAGUGGAUAUUCUCUAUCCACCGAGCUUCUCGCUGAUUACGCCGAUAAAUACGCCACGCCGAGGAGCUUUCAUUUGUUAGACUUACUGCCCGGGGGAAAGCUAAUAAGACACCUCCUCUAACAACGACAAAUACGGUAAUUUCUCCCAGAAAUGUUCGGAGGUCGGUAUUGAAACCGGCAGAUCCGGGAAUACCGAGUCGCGAUUCUUCGAGCCUCGCGGCUCGUUUUUAUAGAAAUUCGGAGCACUCGGCGAAAAAGCAGCAUGUCGGUGUACAUUAAUAUGAAUACAUAGCGAUGCUAAUGUUUUCGCUCUUUUAAUCAUCGUAAUAAAUUGAGAACGAAGAUCGCAGCAGUUCCGAGCCAUUUAUUUUUGUCGCGAACCGAUAAAAUCGGCGGUCCACGGAUUUCGAGGGAGCAGUGGCCAACGAUUCGGCGAUUAAAUACCGGUUAUGUUAAAGAGCAAAAUGAACUGGAAAAUAUGAAUUCCGGCGUCGCAGUUUCGGGCCGAAUAAUACCUUUCGUAAAAACCGGGAUUCGAGGGGAAACUGCGGCGAACGCUGGGAACAUUGUCGCCGGAAAAGGAGUUUCCUCUGUACGCGCCGGUACAUUUGCUUCGAUUCCGCAGUUGGGAACUAACAGGUAGCGAAGCGAUAGCGGCCGCUGAAAUAUAUAUAUAUCGGCUUUAUCGCGGCGUGUUUAAUGAGCAUGAAAUUAAAUCUCGGUUGUUGGGGAAUUAGGAAA
Megalopta genalis is the source of this 1065-nucleotide non-coding RNA. The record is from RefSeq and is a predicted model, not a curated record. NCBI's taxonomy places the organism in Eukaryota, Metazoa, Arthropoda, Insecta, Hymenoptera, Halictidae.